AAGCCCACGCACCCUUGUUGGAUCUGCAAUCCCCCGGAACAGUGUUCAUUUUGAAAGAAAAUUUUAGUAGAAGCUUACACGUUUGUUUCGGUAUCACUCCAAAAGUUAACAAUUGUUCUGUGAAGGUUGACACCUUAUUAUUUUUUCAAAAAUUCUGCUUUCUCUAUUGACGAACAUUUGUUGAAAUUUUUAAUGAAUCUUGUGGUCAUUUUAUUUAAGAAAUUGAAACAAAAUCGUAAACAGUGUACUAGGAAUUUUUUAUUUGAUUGGAAUUUGAUAGCUGCGAUGAAUCGACUCUCAGAUACCAUUGUUGAUAACCCACUGCAUUACUGCUGCUGUUUCAUUGGAGAUAGUAGAAACUCUUUGGAUCCACCUCAAUUGCUGAUUUCUUUGAUGAGUGGGUUAUCGACUGUUUCAGUGGUAUCUGAUCCUUCAGUGGUCAUUAUUCAUUACGGACUGACUACUAAAGAGACUCGGCUGUGUCAAUCUGCAAAAUUUGGCAGCUGAAAGUUGUGAACUUGAAACAACUUGAGUGGAAUGAAGAAUUUGUCACUGAUGAGCAAGAAAGGAUUAAACAUCUUAAUUUAGAUUGAAGUGUCUUAGUAAGGACCAGAAAUGGCUCUCUAACAAUCCUCGCAUAAGAAAAACAAGACAAUGAGCAACAUUACUGCAAUUAGAAUAAUAGAUUCACUGAGCAAUUGGACACAGUUUUUCUCCACUUCAUCUAAAUUAAAGAAGAAGAAACUGUUUUUCCAGCAUACGGACGAAAAGAGGUUCUUUCAUUAUGAGUAGGUGAGAUAUUUAGCAGGGAAAUUAUGUAUUACAUAAUUUAAUUAUGCAAAUUAUGUAUACUAAAAACUAAUAUAUAGAAAUAUUAGUUUUUAGUAUACAUAAUUUAUGGUAUGCGGUGUCAUUAAUCAUUUAGUUAUUGAUCGAAAUGAAUCAUUAGGUUGAUUUUUAACUGUCUGUAAAUAAAGAGGAGGAGAUGGUUUUUGGUUUCGGUUUUGGUCGACUCGAUUUUCAAUAAUGGUUUGGAACGUCACUGGGAAAAAUAUAUUCGUAUUUUAUUGUUAGAAAAUCUAUAGUAUUCAAUUUAUUAUUAAUAUAUGUGAUAUAAUUAAAUUAAAAGUGAACUUUAUCAUAAACUAAAUAGUUUUUAUUGUUAUUAUUUAAGUCAAAAUUAUAUACAUUAAAAAGGAAAAAAAUUUUUUUCUUCCAUAUUUAUUCAGUUAUUUUGUCUUAAACCACCUUAACAAUUGGAUGUAAGGUCCUAACUAAUUAUUUUUAUUAGAUACAUGUAAUCAUUUUUUGUGCUGUUUAAGUGUUAAAUUUUAUUGACAGCUCUAAAGUAUCUUUUGUACACUGUUUUCUUUUGUGUUUUUUUAUAUAUCUUUUUUGAGCAAUUUUUUCUUUCACUUAAAAAAAGUGAAAAUUCUCGCAUAAAUAGAAUAAGUUUUUAAAAUAAUAUGAAGCAUAAAAAAGCUAAAAAUAAUCUAAGUAUUGCUAUUAAUAUGAUAGGCAAUCCAAUGGUAGCCAAAAGGCGGAUUGGAAACAAUAACUACAUGGUUCUUAUUUCCAUUCUGUAAAUGAGAGUUUUUUAAAGGUUUGAUAGAAAGUUUCAUAAUGAAAAACAUUCAUUAGAAAUAAUAAUUCUGAUUGGAUUUGGUCGUCACUAAAAUGCAUCGGCAUUGUUCGGAUAUCAUUAAACAGCUAAUAAUCCAUUGUAGUGGAUUAACCGGUAAUGUCACUAUUUCAAUAGUAUCUGGGUUGUGCUGAAUUGUAUAACUCGAAAUUAUGAUUAUGUCAGCCUCCGAUAAAACGAAUAUAUGAGCCAGAUCAUCAUUUCUCUCCUCACCUCAUUCAACGGAUAGGAUUGUUAUUAUCGAUAGCGAAUGGUGUAGUUCCUAAUCCAUAGCAAAACAAUAUGUUUAAUUUUUUACCAUCAAGUUACCUGGUUUAAGUGUUUUUACUAAUAAUAUAUAGACUCUCAGUAAUCCAGCACUUCACGCUAAAAUGAUGUUUCCACAACAGUUUUAAUGCUUUCCUUUGAAAGCUAUUAAUUCUGCAAUGCCAAAAUACGCUCUGUGAGUGAAGCAAUUUCAAAGAUAUAAAAAAAUCCGGUAUUAAAAUCAGUUCUAUUGUUUAGAAAAAAAAAAUAUAAAAUACUUGUCCCAGUAAUAAAUUUACGAUAAACUUAUAAAAAAAUUGGCUGCAUUAAAAAUGACCCCCAAAAAAUAUUGGUUAGCAUCUACAGUUAUUAGGAAUAGUCAAACUCUAAACAUUUUAUUUAUGGAAGAUAAGAGUGAAAUCAAAUUGAAUUCAAUGGGAAAGGGAUUGGGAAUGUUUGAGAAAAACUUAAUACUAAUCAUUCAAUUUUCAUUUUUUUACCUUUUAUUUACUGAAACUUUUGUUUACUUAUUUUAAAGUAAAAAUGUAGCGAUAAUUUUUACCCAUGUCCCUUUUCAAAGUUCUAAGUUUAUAAUAUUAAAUUGAACAACUCAACUUCGUAUUGAAACGAUUUUCGUAACGAAAAAGAGGAUUUAUGUUUUUAUGUGAAUGGCAACCGUAUGAAUAAACAAAAAGAAUUGGAUGUCGAGUUUCGUGUGGUUGUGAUUUAUUUUAACUAACCUGUUUUAUUAUAAUAUGGACAAAAUAUUUUGGUGACUUGCUUACGUGAUACGGAAACAGAUGAGUCGUGGUUAUUAAAAAAAUGAAAUAAUUAAACUUGACAUCAUGAUUACGGAAGAUAUAUUGAGAAAAUGAAAGUCUGUUCGCACUGCGUUUGCGAAAACUAUAAAUAGUUUAACGGAGAAAUUUGAAAAAAGAAGUACCAAAGGGCGAAAUUGUAAAAACGAAAUGUUUAACUUUAGAUCAUAUUUACAGUGAAUUAAAAGUUUGUAAUGAUAUAAUUUUGAACAAUAUCGAAACAGAUAAAGAUUUUAAAAUGAAUAUGGUAAAAUCGAAGAAUAUGGAGAAAAAAUGGUUUUAGUGAGAGUAAAAAAUGAAUACUUUUUCAAUAAGAUGUGUUCCGACAGAACAGCUGAAUCAGUAAUUUUAUUGCCAAAUGAAAAACGAAAAAUGCGCCAACCAAAAAAUUGAACUGUUGCAUUUUGAUAAAGAUUUGAAGGAUUAUUUAGAAUUUUCGAGCCAAUUUCUAAGAAUACAUACUGAUAUCCGAGAAUAAAUUUCGAUAUUCAUUACAAUGCAUUGUGUAAGGAAGUCGAGCUCGCGAAGUUAUUGAAAGUUUCCUUCCAACAUCUGAAAACAAAUAUAAGAUACAAAAAUAUCUAAUGAAAAUCUUGAAAAUGAAAAUAAUACUUGUAAAAUUGAAUGGUUUUAUAUCAAACUUUUGGAAAUGUAAAUAAAUGUAAUAUUCCUGUAUUUCAAAUAAAUCAUUUGGAAACGAUAAUAAUAAUUACAAAAUUCAAAAAUCUCAAACAAAACACUUGUAUAUGAAUGUAACAAACACAAGACUCAAAAUACUCUUAUAAUAUUUGGGAAAAAAAUAUGUAAUAUAAAAAAAUAUUUGUAUUUUGUAAAAAACAAGUAUUUGGACACAUGAUAAUAGAGGGUUGCUCAAUAACUGUCAGGAGUGUAAAAUUUUCCCCUGAGGUAUAAAAAUCUUGGUAUGUUACUUUUUUCGUUCACAAUGUCUGCAUGCAAAAUUUUUGAUAACCUUUGAGUUAGAUAAAUUUAAUUAAAAUUGGGGAGAUCAUUUUUUCUUAUUUAUUAAUAGCAUGUACAUAAAUUUCAAAUUCAACAAAUUAUAAUAUUAUGAAUAAAUUUUAAAUAAUAUAUAUGAAAAAAUUUAAAAACUCAAUAUUUUAAACUAAAGCUCAUGAUAUUUUGAAUAAUAAUAUAAAAAGAUUAUUUGCUAUUAUAUUAUAAUAGAAAAAUGCAAUUUAAAAUCAAAUCAAAAGUGCAGAAUAAAAAUUUUGAAUUUCACUCGUUGAGUCAGCUGAUGGAUGAUUUUUUUCUUUUUUAAACACUGAUCAUUUCUUGAAGAAUAAUCGCUUUUAUAAUUAAUCACAAAAUGAGCACUGGAACUGGAGACUAUAACAGGUGACUAUUAUAUUGUAGUGAUAAUAUUACAAGGAAAUGACGUCGAGAGCGGGAUUAUUCAGCACAGGUAAGAAAUGACGUCGAGAGCGGGAUUAUUCAGCACAGGUAAGGAGCCAGAAAUUUUUUAUGAUGACGAGGAGUUUCAACUCCUUGAAAAUAUAAGGAUCACGCACAUGACGGUAUGGAGCACUAAUACAAGGGUAUUAAGCAGCAGUGUCGGAUGAAGUCACUGGUUAGGCACGGAUAUAUAUAUAUAUAUAUAUAUAUAUAUAUAAAUUGAUUGUAAAUAAAGUUAGUUAGCUCAGAUUAAAUUCUCCUCGGAACGCGUAAUCGAUGUCGGAGCGGUACUGGGGGUCCAUGGUUAGACCAUUCACCAUCUACAAUAAUGAUAUCCCCUGCCUCAGAAAUUGCCUUACCCAAAUAUGUCUAUUGGCCGACGACACUGCUCUCAUGAGCACCAGUGCAUCCAGAAUGAUAAUGGAACAACAACAAAAAAAUACUUUGGCCGAUGGUUAAUCAUGUGGGAAAUAAAAGUUAACGCAGACAAAUGUCAAGGAGUUAAUUUCACCAGAAGAAAAAUUGUUCGGAUACCCCCCCCCCCGUCCCCCCUAGAAUUAUAUAAAAAUCCUAAUUGAAUGGAGCAUUAAUACAAAGUAUUUAGGAGUAAUACUUGACAAAAAGUUUAUAAGGAUCACAUCACUCAAGUAAGAAAUAAAUUUUAGGCCAUGAAAGCAAAAUUAUCCCACUCGUAAGCAGGAAAACAAAACUCUCUCUGAGAAACAAGCUUUUGCUCUACAAGGCAAUGCUUAGAUCCAACAUGAGCUAGGCAUCCCCUGUGUGGUUCACAGCCACUAAAUCACAGAUUAAUAAACUGGAAAAAUUACGAAACAUAGUUGUAAGGCAAAUAAAGACUUCCCAUAGUUUAUCAGAAAUAAAUAUAUCCAAAAGGAUCUAAACCUUCCCUCCGCAAUAGAAUUCUUUCAAAAACUAGCAAAUAAUUUCUUCAAUAAAAUACACCUUCUGUCAAACCCCGCGAUCUAAGCAAUACCGACCUACGAUCCCCUCAACCCAGAAAAGGAAGGAGACCUCGUGCCCUUGUCCCUUAAUUCACCAGCUGUGCUGCCAGAACCUUCCAUGUACCACUGACGGGAAGCAUUGGAAAGGAAACGACACCAUGGAGCUCAUCCCCUCCCCCAAAUGCGGACCAGGCAUUUUUAGGACUUGUGAGGAAAGCCCAAAGGAAUGAGACUGAAAUGAGCAAAGACAAGAUGACAACCAUUUGAACCUGACCAGCUGAGCCGAACGCUCCAGAUGUUACACGCAGGUUAGGCGUCGAAGAUUGUGAACCAUUGAGAUCAGGUGCUCCGUCAAAACAACCUCAUCAGUAAUGAAUUAUCUCAGACUUGUUGCAUUUAAAGGGCUAAGCAAUCGUCUACAUUUGUGAUCCGGUUUCUUUGACCGCUCUUGCUGUGUGGAUCUGAUGCCUACUCCAACAUAAACUCUGUUCGUGUCUCAGUUUCUUAGACCUCUUUUGGAUGUUUCUACUAUCAGACCUUUAUCUGAAAAUUAUACUGAUGUUUAUUAGAGAAAUUUAAAGACAGAUGAUCAUGGAUGAAUAAAUGUUGCUGCAUCUUCUGUCUGCCACACCAUGUUAGAAGCAGAUUAAUUGUCGAAAGGAAAAAGAAAUGUUUCCAGGGUACUAACAGAGCAAGACAAAUCUUAAAAUUGAAAAAUCACGGAAAAAAUCACAGUGGGGUCCCUUGGAUUUGUUUACAUCUGUCUUCUGCCACUCCUAUCUCCGAAUUAGAGGAAUUGUCGUUCUGGAAGUCAAAAACAUUUUAAGGCUUGUAACAGAAGUUGAAAAAUUUCAAGGUUUUUGAUGACAAAGAAGUCAUUUUUUUCACGCCUGCUCCUAAGAAAGUAACUGUCUUCUCACUGAAUGGAAAUAUAUUCAAAAUAUACGUAGACUACUUCAGCAUUGUGUCAAAAGGAAGAAUCAGAGUUAAACACACCACAAGACAACUUGCAGAUCCAUGAAAUUCUAUGAAUUAUAUUUUUUAUUUAUUCCUUCUCAUUUUCUUGUUGUAAAUAAAGCACACAAUUCUUGUUGAUCUUUGAGAAAAUAAUAAUAAUAAUAAAAAAAAAACGUUUUAUUCA
Molecule: long non-coding RNA, 6219 nt
Organism: Argiope bruennichi
Lineage: Eukaryota; Metazoa; Arthropoda; Arachnida; Araneae; Araneidae
Exons: 7
Source: RefSeq, a predicted model, not a curated record